Molecule: long non-coding RNA, 465 nt
Organism: Rana temporaria (common frog)
Lineage: Eukaryota; Metazoa; Chordata; Amphibia; Anura; Ranidae
Exons: 3
Source: RefSeq, a predicted model, not a curated record
CAGAUGCUGCCGGAGAGUCAGCCGAUGACACUGAAGUCACUUACACCGACCUCAUUCUGCAUCGUGUACCUGAAGGGUCUUCAACAUUGACCAGCGAGCCUGACGUCAUCUAUGCCGCUGUGAAAUGCGGAAAAGCGCCAUAUUAAAGAAGAUCUCCGCUGACCUCUGUCUAUAAUGACCGUGGGGGCACCCAAUGAAAAGGAGGGGCCAGGAGCACUGCUAAGGGACCCCAGAAAAGGAAGUUUGGGGCCACUCUGUGCAAAACCCUUGCACAUGUUUGUUAUUUAAAAAAAAAAAAACCUUUACAAUCACUUUAAGCCUGUGUUUGGAUUUUUGAGGAUGAAUAACUUCAUAGUACAUGCAGCUACAUGGGUCAGGAAUGGCUAGAGCCAAGGCUCUUUUAUUGCUUGUUAAAGAGUGGGACUUCAUACUUUUUCUUCACUUGCCAUCAUUUUCCUUUUCCCA